Molecule: non-coding RNA, 139 nt
Organism: Drosophila yakuba
Lineage: Eukaryota; Metazoa; Arthropoda; Insecta; Diptera; Drosophilidae
Source: Rfam
UGCAAAUGCACUCUGUGUCACAUUAGAACUAGCUUCGUGUGAUGACAAUUUGUUAGUUUGCCAAAUCAACGAGAUUCGUCUUAUCCAUGUGGUCAUGUUCUUACCAAUUUGCUCACAUUGAAAACGACCCUAACAUGAG